UACGUAGGGCGCGAGCGUUGUCCGGAUUUAUUGGGCGUAAAGAGCUCGUAGGCGGCUUGUCGCGUCGGCUGUGAAAACUCGGGGCUUAACCCCGGGCCUGCAGUGGGUACGGGCAGACUAGAGUGCGGUAGGGGAGACUGGAAUUCCUGGUGUAGCGGUGAAAUGCGCAGAUAUCAGGAGGAACACCGGUGGCGAAGGCGGGUCUCUGGGCCGAUACUGACGCUGAGGAGCGAAAGCGUGGGGAGCGAACAGG
Molecule: ribosomal RNA, 253 nt
Filed under: uncultured bacterium
Lineage: Bacteria
Description: partial 16S ribosomal RNA
Rfam family: Bacterial small subunit ribosomal RNA
Source: RNAcentral